GCUUGUCUCAAAGAUUAAGCCAUGCAUGUCUUAGUGUAAAUAACUCUUAUGAAACUGCGAAUGGCUCAUUAAAUCAGUUAUCGUUUAUUUGAUGGUCCCUUACUACAUGGAUAACCGUAGUAAUUCUAGAGCUAAUACAUGCAUCAAUCCCCGACUUCCUGGAAGGGGUGUACUUAUUAGAUGGAAACCAAUGCGGGGCAACCCGGAUUCUGGUGAUUCAUAAUAAUUAUCGGAUCGAUCGUAUGAUCGAUGCAUCAUUCAAGUUUCUGCCCUAUCAGCUUUGGAUGGUAGGGUAUUGGCCUACCAUGGCAUUAACGGGUAACGGAGAAUUAGGGUUCGAUUCCGGAGAGGGAGCCUGAGAAAUGGCUACCACAUCCAAGGAAGGCAGCAGG
Molecule: ribosomal RNA, 392 nt
Filed under: uncultured Chrysophyceae
Lineage: Eukaryota; Chrysophyceae
Description: partial small subunit ribosomal RNA
Rfam family: Eukaryotic small subunit ribosomal RNA
Source: RNAcentral